RNAcentral lists this ribosomal RNA (2927 nucleotides) under Staphylococcus aureus. RNAcentral describes it as "23S ribosomal RNA". It matches the Rfam family "Bacterial large subunit ribosomal RNA". The record is from RNAcentral. Lineage: Bacteria; Bacillati; Bacillota; Bacilli; Caryophanales; Staphylococcaceae.
AGAUUAAGUUAUUAAGGGCGCACGGUGGAUGCCUUGGCACUAGAAGCCGAUGAAGGACGUUACUAACGACGAUAUGCUUUGGGGAGCUGUAAGUAAGCUUUGAUCCAGAGAUUUCCGAAUGGGGAAACCCAGCAUGAGUUAUGUCAUGUUAUCGAUAUGUGAAUACAUAGCAUAUCAGAAGGCACACCCGGAGAACUGAAACAUCUUAGUACCCGGAGGAAGAGAAAGAAAAUUCGAUUCCCUUAGUAGCGGCGAGCGAAACGGGAAGAGCCCAAACCAACAAGCUUGCUUGUUGGGGUUGUAGGACACUCUAUACGGAGUUACAAAGGACGACAUUAGACGAAUCAUCUGGAAAGAUGAAUCAAAGAAGGUAAUAAUCCUGUAGUCGAAAAUGUUGUCUCUCUUGAGUGGAUCCUGAGUACGACGGAGCACGUGAAAUUCCGUCGGAAUCUGGGAGGACCAUCUCCUAAGGCUAAAUACUCUCUAGUGACCGAUAGUGAACCAGUACCGUGAGGGAAAGGUGAAAAGCACCCCGGAAGGGGAGUGAAAUAGAACCUGAAACCGUGUGCUUACAAGUAGUCAGAGCCCGUUAAUGGGUGAUGGCGUGCCUUUUGUAGAAUGAACCGGCGAGUUACGAUUUGAUGCAAGGUUAAGCAGUAAAUGUGGAGCCGUAGCGAAAGCGAGUCUGAAUAGGGCGUUUAGUAUUUGGUCGUAGACCCGAAACCAGGUGAUCUACCCUUGGUCAGGUUGAAGUUCAGGUAACACUGAAUGGAGGACCGAACCGACUUACGUUGAAAAGUGAGCGGAUGAACUGAGGGUAGCGGAGAAAUUCCAAUCGAACCUGGAGAUAGCUGGUUCUCUCCGAAAUAGCUUUAGGGCUAGCCUCAAGUGAUGAUUAUUGGAGGUAGAGCACUGUUUGGACGAGGGGCCCCUCUCGGGUUACCGAAUUCAGACAAACUCCGAAUGCCAAUUAAUUUAACUUGGGAGUCAGAACAUGGGUGAUAAGGUCCGUGUUCGAAAGGGAAACAGCCCAGACCACCAGCUAAGGUCCCAAAAUAUAUGUUAAGUGGAAAAGGAUGUGGCGUUGCCCAGACAACUAGGAUGUUGGCUUAGAAGCAGCCAUCAUUUAAAGAGUGCGUAAUAGCUCACUAGUCGAGUGACACUGCGCCGAAAAUGUACCGGGGCUAAACAUAUUACCGAAGCUGUGGAUUGUCCUUUGGACAAUGGUAGGAGAGCGUUCUAAGGGCGUUGAAGCAUGAUCGUAAGGACAUGUGGAGCGCUUAGAAGUGAGAAUGCCGGUGUGAGUAGCGAAAGACGGGUGAGAAUCCCGUCCACCGAUUGACUAAGGUUUCCAGAGGAAGGCUCGUCCGCUCUGGGUUAGUCGGGUCCUAAGCUGAGGCCGACAGGCGUAGGCGAUGGAUAACAGGUUGAUAUUCCUGUACCACCUAUAAUCGUUUUAAUCGAUGGGGGGACGCAGUAGGAUAGGCGAAGCGUGCGAUUGGAUUGCACGUCUAAGCAGUAAGGCUGAGUAUUAGGCAAAUCCGGUACUCGUUAAGGCUGAGCUGUGAUGGGGAGAAGACAUUGUGUCUUCGAGUCGUUGAUUUCAUACUGCCGAGAAAAGCCUCUAGAUAGAAAAUAGGUGCCCGUACCGCAAACCGACACAGGUAGUCAAGAUGAGAAUUCUAAGGUGAGCGAGCGAACUCUCGUUAAGGAACUCGGCAAAAUGACCCCGUAACUUCGGGAGAAGGGGUGCUCUUUAGGGUUAACGCCCAGAAGAGCCGCAGUGAAUAGGCCCAAGCGACUGUUUAUCAAAAACACAGGUCUCUGCUAAACCGUAAGGUGAUGUAUAGGGGCUGACGCCUGCCCGGUGCUGGAAGGUUAAGAGGAGUGGUUAGCUUCUGCGAAGCUACGAAUCGAAGCCCCAGUAAACGGCGGCCGUAACUAUAACGGUCCUAAGGUAGCGAAAUUCCUUGUCGGGUAAGUUCCGACCCGCACGAAAGGCGUAACGAUUUGGGCACUGUCUCAACGAGAGACUCGGUGAAAUCAUAGUACCUGUGAAGAUGCAGGUUACCCGCGACAGGACGGAAAGACCCCGUGGAGCUUUACUGUAGCCUGAUAUUGAAAUUCGGCACAGCUUGUACAGGAUAGGUAGGAGCCUUUGAAACGUGAGCGCUAGCUUACGUGGAGGCGCUGGUGGGAUACUACCCUAGCUGUGUUGGCUUUCUAACCCGCACCACUUAUCGUGGUGGGAGACAGUGUCAGGCGGGCAGUUUGACUGGGGCGGUCGCCUCCUAAAAGGUAACGGAGGCGCUCAAAGGUUCCCUCAGAAUGGUUGGAAAUCAUUCAUAGAGUGUAAAGGCAUAAGGGAGCUUGACUGCGAGACCUACAAGUCGAGCAGGGUCGAAAGACGGACUUAGUGAUCCGGUGGUUCCGCAUGGAAGGGCCAUCGCUCAACGGAUAAAAGCUACCCCGGGGAUAACAGGCUUAUCUCCCCCAAGAGUUCACAUCGACGGGGAGGUUUGGCACCUCGAUGUCGGCUCAUCGCAUCCUGGGGCUGUAGUCGGUCCCAAGGGUUGGGCUGUUCGCCCAUUAAAGCGGUACGCGAGCUGGGUUCAGAACGUCGUGAGACAGUUCGGUCCCUAUCCGUCGUGGGCGUAGGAAAUUUGAGAGGAGCUGUCCUUAGUACGAGAGGACCGGGAUGGACAUACCUCUGGUGUACCAGUUGUCGUGCCAACGGCAUAGCUGGGUAGCUAUGUGUGGACGGGAUAAGUGCUGAAAGCAUCUAAGCAUGAAGCCCCCCUCAAGAUGAGAUUUCCCAACUUCGGUUAUAAGAUCCCUCAAAGAUGAUGAGGUUAAUAGGUUCGAGGUGGAAGCAUGGUGACAUGUGGAGCUGACGAAUACUAAUCGAUCGAAGACUUAAUCAAAUU